GAUGAACGCUGGCGGCGUGCCUAAUACAUGCAAGUCGAGCGAACACACAAGGAGCUUUCUCUCCUAACGGUAGCGGCUGACGGGUGGGUAACACGUGGAUAACCUACCUCUAAUUCUGGGAUAACUUCGGGAAACAGGUGCUGAUAACUGAUAAUAUAUUUAACCGCUUGGUUCAAUAGUUCUAGACGGCUUUGGUGUCACUUAUAGAUGAAUCCGCGCCGCAUUAGCUAGUUGGUAAGGUAACGGCUUACCAAGGCGACGAUGCGUAGCCGACCUGAGAGGAUGAUCGGCCACACUGGAACUGAGACACGGUCCAGACUCCUACGGGAGGCAGCAGUAGGGAAUCUUACGCAAUGGGCGCAAGCCUGACGGAGCCACGCCGCGUGAGUGAAGAAGGUCUUCGGAUCGUAAAACUCUGUUAUUAGGAAAGAACAAAUGUGUAAGUAUCCAUGCCCGUCCUGACGGUACCUAAUGAGAAAGCAACGGCUAACUACGUG
RNAcentral lists this ribosomal RNA (497 nucleotides) under uncultured bacterium. RNAcentral's name for it is "partial 16S ribosomal RNA". It matches the Rfam family "Bacterial small subunit ribosomal RNA", at positions 28 to 507 of the family's 1533-position model. The record is from RNAcentral.